AGUGAACGCUGGCGGUAGGCCUAACACAUGCAAGUCGAACGGCAGCACAGUAAGAGCUUGCUCUUACGGGUGGCGAGUGGCGGACGGGUGAGGAAUACAUCGGAAUCUACUUUUUCGUGGGGGAUAACGUAGGGAAACUUACGCUAAUACCGCAUACGACCUACGGGUGAAAGCAGGGGAUCUUCGGACCUUGCGCGAUUGAAUGAGCCGAUGUCGGAUUAGCUAGUUGGCGGGGUAAAGGCCCACCAAGGCGACGAUCCGUAGCGGGUCUGAGAGGAUGAUCAGCCACACUGGAACUGAGACACGGUCCAGACUCCUACGGGGGGCAGCAGUGGGGAAUAUUGGACAAUGGGCGCAAGCCUGAUCCAGCCAUACCGCGUGGGUGAAGAAGGCCUUCGGGUUGUAAAGCCCUUUUGUUGGGAAAGAAAAGCAGCAGGUUAAUACCCCGCUGUUCUGACGGUACCCAAAGAAUAAGCACCGGCUAACUUCGUG
This 492-nucleotide ribosomal RNA is filed under the name uncultured bacterium. Its description in RNAcentral is "partial 16S ribosomal RNA". It matches the Rfam family "Bacterial small subunit ribosomal RNA", at positions 29 to 507 of the family's 1533-position model. The record is from RNAcentral.